GUGGUUGUAGCUCAGUUGGUUAGAGCAUCGGUUUGUGGUGCCGAGGGUCGUGGGUUCGAAUCCCAUCUACCACC
This 74-nucleotide transfer RNA is filed under the name Mesonia phycicola. Its description in RNAcentral is "Mesonia sp. MDSW-25 tRNA". It matches the Rfam family "tRNA". Rfam says of the family: Transfer RNA (tRNA) molecules are approximately 80 nucleotides in length. Their secondary structure includes four short double-helical elements and three loops (D, anti-codon, and T loops). Further hydrogen bonds mediate the characteristic L-shaped molecular structure. tRNAs have two regions of fundamental functional importance: the anti-codon, which is responsible for specific mRNA codon recognition, and the 3' end, to which the tRNAs corresponding amino acid is attached (by aminoacyl-tRNA synthetases). tRNAs cope with the degeneracy of the genetic code in two manners: having more than one tRNA (with a specific anti-codon) for a particular amino acid; and 'wobble' base-pairing, i.e. permitting non-standard base-pairing at the 3rd anti-codon position. Lineage: Bacteria; Pseudomonadati; Bacteroidota; Flavobacteriia; Flavobacteriales; Flavobacteriaceae. The record is from Rfam by way of RNAcentral.